CAGGCCACGCGAGCCCGUGUUUUCCUUUCUUUUUCUUCGUCUGCGGGUCCCACCGCCAGGUCAGCGUCUUCAAGCUCAGCAACGAACAGGCAACGCACGAGCACGAGCCCGGCCGUUUUCAGUUUCUUGCGUUUCUCUUUUCUUUGAUUCCCGGAGAUUUAAGGCACCAUGUGAUGAGCCGUUUUGUCCUACAAAUAGCCCUGUCAAUUCUCUCCAUUUCCCCUCAAACCUCACAGAACGAGAGCCACCAGGCUACUCGCAAACCAUCUCGCAAUCUUGCGGAAACUGCUGCCGUUCGUCGACGACUACGGUUCGUCGGCGACCGACGCCACAGUCCGCAUGAGCAUCUCUGACGAGCGAUUCCGGCUGACUCCUUCCGCGCCGUCGUCGUCUACUUCGCCAUCAAUCUCGUCUCGUCUUCGUGCGUUGAUAGGUAUAACCCAAGCUUCCUAAAUCCUUGUAUAUCGCUGGGAACGGCUGAUGCCAACGCUGCCCGCCGUGACGCCAACGACCAUGGCGAGCCGGAGGACCGCCGGAGACGACACCCGAAUUCCGCCGAAGUGCGCCGCCUCCGUUCGCUUGUAGCGGCCACGCAGGGCAGAGGAAAACGCCAUCAUGCACUCGUAGCCCCGUGAAGCUGCUUUCCGUCGACCACCUUACUGUUGCACAGCGCCGGCAACCACCACGACCAAUCAUCGCCAAUAUCGUACGGAGUGCAACGAGUGUGAUUGUGAGAAGUGUAUGAUCAUCAAGUACCAAAAGGCAAGUGUCACUCAUGUCCUAAUGUUUUCUAUGCAUGUAGUUUUUUUUUACUUAGUAGAAUUUGCAUGUGUAGGAUGUUUUCAAGUAAAAAGUAUAUAUGCUAUGCUAAUCCUAUAGUCUUAGGAUUCCUUUAGUUUUCCUCAAGUUGCCAUCGUAAGUAGUUUGCUUAGCCAUGCUACUAGAUACGUGGUUGGGAUAUCAUGAUGAGAUAUGAUGAAGAAAAAUAUGUUUUUGUUAUAAAUGAAAACAACUUGAUGAAUGAAACACCUGGGCGGAUUGGUACGAGUGGAGCGUCUGCACGGUGAAAAUUGGUGGGGUCCGCCGCCCAGGAACAAAAGAGAUUGGAAAGGUUUCAUGUUUAGUAGCUUCUUGUACAGCCGCAUGUCAUAUGGGCUCUGUCUUGACUAAGUAGGUUGUAGGGUCCUGUCCCGACGUGACCAGCAGAUGUAGAUGUGUAGGUUGGUACGGGUCCGUCCAGAGGGCUCAGGGUCUUACUUCCGAAAACAGUCUCGUCUUAGUCUUCUCCCAACCAUUUGAGCAAAAUGAGCAUCAUGGUGGAAAUGGGGCUGACUAAGUCGUGCGGGUAAAGUGUACAAACCUCUGCAGAGUGUUAAAAACUAAGUACUUAGCCGUGUCCCCGGUUACGGACAACUUUGAGCAACUGGACCUGGAGCUGUUAGAAGAUCUCUCUCAUCCCAAUUUCAUAAUAAAACUUGAUGGGUAAACUUGGGUAGCAUUAAGCUGGACUCUAGUGUCUAUCCCUGGUGAGCCAGCGUGAUGAGAACUUGGGUUCAUGCUUUUAGGGUUAUAUUUUCAAAGAUAAAUGAUGUUUACAAAAGAUAGGGAAAAUGCUUGCUUUUCUGCAAAGAGCCUAAACUCCACCAGCCAAAUAUACAUGUAGGUAUUAGGUGCCAUUUGUGUCCACUAAAUAGUGACAUCUUGCCAAUACAUUCAAAGUAUUGACCAAAUGUUUUUGGCUGUAACUUUACCUGUUGCAGAUAUUUUGAUAGACGAGUGAGAUACGAUGAUUAGGGUUACGGGUCUAUCCUCAACAUGCUCGCCUGUGGCACAUGAAGAUGAAGGACUCCAUGCUAUAUGUUUGUUCAUUGUAAAUCUCUGAUGUAAUGCUAGUCUUGUGCUAUGCAAUUUGUAAGUCACUAUGUAUAUAUGGAUCAUGCGAUGUAAUAAAGACCUUUGUUUCUUGGUAUUACAUCUUAAACUGUGUGUGCUAGCGAUUGAUCCAGGGACUAGCACAAUAAAGCACAGGGAUCGGCACCCUACCGGGUGAGGUCAC
Non-coding RNA from Lolium perenne, 2056 nucleotides. The record is from RefSeq and is a predicted model, not a curated record. Lineage: Eukaryota; Viridiplantae; Streptophyta; Magnoliopsida; Poales; Poaceae.